AAACCUUUGUAUUUUCUGCUCAAUUUUGCUAAAAUUACUAUAAAGUGCACUGAAAAAAGAAAACAAAGGAUCAGCAAUUAUGAUCCCAAGUGUAUAAAAUAAAAAUAUUAGUACAGAAAAAUAUAUAGGCUACCUGAAAAUGCACAAAAGUGCUGAGAAGAGUUUUAAAUUUCAAUUAUUCAUGAGGUAAGAACUUGGCAUUUUGGAGGGGUGGGUGUUUGUGUGUGUGUGUGUUUGUGUGUGUGUGUGUGUGUUGCUGCAAUAUAAGGGUUGUAUUGAAUGUCAUUAUGACCAGUAACCAGGAAAUACACAAAUUCUAUCCUACUGAGACUCCUUACCCAUGAAGUACUUGGAAAAACAAACUUAUUGUUAGUUGGAUUUUAUUAAAGAGAUUUGUUUUUUUUAAUUUUAUAUAAUUUUAAAAUAGCAAAGUUAACUCCAAAAAUAAGAGCAAUCAUUUAUUUUUAUCAACUGGAAACUAAAAGG
Molecule: long non-coding RNA, 486 nt
Organism: Pipistrellus kuhlii (Kuhl's pipistrelle)
Lineage: Eukaryota; Metazoa; Chordata; Mammalia; Chiroptera; Vespertilionidae
Exons: 3
Source: RefSeq, a predicted model, not a curated record